This 253-nucleotide ribosomal RNA is filed under the name uncultured bacterium. RNAcentral describes it as "partial 16S ribosomal RNA". It matches the Rfam family "Bacterial small subunit ribosomal RNA", at positions 524 to 776 of the family's 1533-position model. The record is from RNAcentral.
UACGAAGGGUGCAAGCGUUAAUCGGAAUUACUGGGCGUAAAGCGUGCGUAGGCGGUUUGUUAAGUCUGUUGUGAAAUCCCCGGGCUCAACCUGGGAAUGGCAAUGGAUACUGGCAAGCUAGAGUGUGUCAGAGGAUGGUGGAAUUCCCGGUGUAGCGGUGAAAUGCGUAGAGAUCGGGAGGAAUAUCAGUGGCGAAGGCGGCCAUCUGGGACAACACUGACGCUGAGGCACGAAAGCGUGGGGAGCAAACAGG